RNAcentral lists this long non-coding RNA (318 nucleotides) under Arabidopsis lyrata. RNAcentral's name for it is "long non-coding RNA (ALYR_LNC002600)". The record is from RNAcentral. Lineage: Eukaryota; Viridiplantae; Streptophyta; Magnoliopsida; Brassicales; Brassicaceae.
UAGGUAAUUGAUUUUGGACCCGAACUUCUUCAGCUUGAGUUAAUUCUCCAAUCCUGCUCAUGGUUCCUUGUUUGCGUUCUUUGCGGAGGGAUUGAGGCAGAUGCAAUUCUGGUGGCUUUUCCUUGAUUGUCAAUAUGUUCAAUGCACCUUCAACUCCUUUCAAGUUUUCAUGGCUUAGUAGUUGAACCUUUAAUGAGUCUUUCCUUGAUAUCACUUCUCUUAAGUACUUAUACUUCUCCACAGCUCCUGUUCCUUUUUGAGCACUCAUGGGAUAGAACAAAUGCAUCAUACUUGAAAUAGAGAAUUUAAGAACAUGAU